This 478-nucleotide ribosomal RNA is filed under the name Batrachoseps nigriventris (black-bellied slender salamander). RNAcentral's name for it is "partial 16S ribosomal RNA". It matches the Rfam family "Bacterial large subunit ribosomal RNA", at positions 1854 to 2571 of the family's 2925-position model. Lineage: Eukaryota; Metazoa; Chordata; Amphibia; Caudata; Plethodontidae. The record is from RNAcentral.
ACUGCCUGCCCAGUGACACUUGUUCAACGGCCGCGGUAUUAUGACCGUGCAAAGGUAGCGUAAUCACUUGUCUUUUAAAUAAAGACCGGUAUGAAUGGCAAAACGAGAACUCAACUGUCUCCUCAGACAAGUCAGUGAAAUUGAUUUCCCCGUGAAGAAGCAGGGAUAAUAAUAUAAGACGAGAAGACCCUAUGGAGCUUUAAACCAAAACUACCCACCCUCUUAAAACUUUAAAAAGUGGAGUUAGCCAUAGGUUUUGGGUUGGGGCGACCGCGGAGUAAAAAUUAACCUCCGAGAAAUAAUUAAGAAAAACACUUCAAAAAAUAAUAAUGUUAAUAUAUUGACCCAAUAAUUGAUCAACGAACCAAGUUACCCUAGGGAUAACAGCGCAAUCCUCUCAAAGAGUCCCUAUCGACGAGAGGGUUUACGACCUCGAUGUUGGAUCAGGACCCCCAAAUGGUGCAAAAGCUGUUAAAGG